GAUCCUUGUGUACGUGAGGCCUUUUGAAAUGUUAAACUUGGAAACUUCCCUAUCCGUGUAGGCACAAGGAUGGACAACUCAGGUGUCUGAAGACAACAAGCAAAGCAGUUUGGCAUCACCCUUCCUCUGGCACUGUGGGUGUUAUCAAGGGCUGGAUAACAAAAGAGAAAGAGAGCAAAGGAGAGUCAGAGCUCCUGGGACAAGAUGCCUGCUGGGUCCUGGAAAAUAAUCCAAAGCCUUUCCUAAAACAGCUCAAGGAUUAAAACAUCCAUCCUGAGAUGGGCAGCGUGAAGUCUGACGGUGGUUGGGCAGCACCAGAUGUGCAAAAGCUUUAUGGAAGGAAAGCCUCAGUGCCCAAAAAGAGCUGAGCUUUUGACUGAUGUGUCUGCAGCAAGCAACAGAGGAGAAGGUGCCCCUUGCUUUCACUGCCAGCUUUCCUUCAUGAAGAGCAGCAGAAGGGAAAAAAGCAUCACUGCAAUGCUGCUGAGAUGGGCAGAGGUCGCACUGCUCCCACACUGCCCUGGGGUCAAAGUCCCUCUGUUCCCAUGCUCCCUGGGGGUUGCUACAGGGUAUUCUGCUGUCCAGGACAACAUCUGGUUUGUGGCUUUGGGAGAGGUCACUGUCCUUAUCUGUGUCAUACAGAAGAGGGAUGGACGUGCAGGAGAAGGGGCUUGCCUGGACUCCUCCAGCUCUCCUCAAUCAGAAACAUAAAACCAGGCUUUCCAGCCCUGAGCAACAAACUGCUGAUCCUAUAGCCCACUCUGUCUGCCAGCUCUCAUGGUUUUGUUUGCUCUUGUUUUCAGAGAGGCCAAAUGAUCCCUGCUUACAACUCAGAUUAGAGGUAGUAUCAUUUCUUCAGCCCUCACCAUGGGGGAAAUCAGCUGGAAAGGGGCAAAGUGCUGUCAGUUAUGUCCAGGGCUUUGGGCUGAUUUUCUCUCCAUGUUCUGGAAUAGCUGGACUUCAGGAUGAGGCCAAAGAGAAAUCUUCAUCCCAGAAAAGCAGUUGUUUUCUUUAUAAAGGUAUAAAGCUGUUGGAAAAGAGACUUUAAAUUUAAAGUGACCAUUUAGCCAUAACUGCAACUUUGCCAGAAAUUUGCUGUAAUGUGGAAUGACUCAGAAAUACAAAACUAAGGGGAAAACCUCUUCCUUUGUUCAAGGGAGAAAAAGAGAUGUAUCCUUCUCUAAAAUAGAACUGAAAGCUCUGCAGUAUUGGAUCGUAUUCAGAAUAAAAACUGCAGAGAAAAUAAUCCUGAAGAUCUGAUCCCAAUCCUGGCACUGCCACCCUAUGAACUGGUCCUCUUAUUCAGAACAGAGGGGUGUAAAAUGCAGCUUGUAAAUCAAUAGGACAGAUAAAUCUUCAGACAGAUCAGGUCUGAAGAUCACCUGCAUGCUGUUAUUUUCCUGUACUGAUGGAUGUUUCAAGUUACCCCUUUUCCAUCCAGGCAGAAGGAAUGCUUGUGGCAAGAGAAUAUAUGUGGCUUGUGGGGUCCUGUGCAAGGAGGGCAAAGAGGUAAACCUCCAGUCUAAAGGGGAUAUAUGGAGUCAGUGGGAUGCUGUCAGACCAAACUCUUCCCAACUGCUUUCCUAUCAGUUCCUGCUUUCCUUCUCCUUGAACUCAACAUGCCAGAUGCUGUGGCCAUGUCCACUCCUAGCAACCCUUCUCCAUCAUCCUCCGCCUCCAAGCCAGAGCCUGGGAAUGGCCUGGCACACGUGGCCCUCUCAGCCCAGCUUUCUCAUGAAGAUAAACGACCCCAUUUGAUGUGAUGACAGAGAACAGCAGCUGGGGCAGCCUCCCAGCUGCUAUAAGGGCAAAUCAAAGCACUGAGUUUGGUGUGGAGAAUAAGAUAUCAUCAGCAUCUGCAGGCAAGGAAGGAGACAGUUUGACUGGCUAAUUAGCCUUGGGUGCUAAUGAAACCUAGAGCAGAAGAUCUCAGCAUGCUGGGGUGAUGUUUUUGUGCUGGUUUGAAGGAGUGUGAGCAGGAUCCAGGAACAGGGAACUGCUUCCAAAAGGGUCUUCCAGAAGGAUGUCUGUGAUUUUGAUUUAAACUUGGCUUGAUGUGUAGGAGCACAAAGGAGAGUCUUCUGUCCUGCUGAACCAGUGGGGGCAGAGGUGGCCUUUGGAGGACACCCAGGGCUGGGAUUUGGAGAUCUCUGACCUAAUGACCAUGACACGAUGCCAAGGCAGAGCUGGGCAAAGCUCAGAGCUGAAAAGCAAGAAAGAAUCUACCUAAAGAGCAACUGAGAUGCAGGGAUGCUUCUGCUCCUGGCAAGUGAAAUCCCCACACAGAGAAGAUUCUUUUCAUUUGGUCUGAGCUUUCCAUUCUGAUUAUAAUCAAAGCAGCUCAUUCUGCCUCGCCUUCUCCCUUGCGGUGAUGGGGUCACCCUGCAUAUCUCAGCAGGAAAUUUCUAAAGGAAAUGUCUUUUACAACAAGCCUUUGUGAUAAGAACAUAGCCACCUUAUCAAAACGCUUUGCGCUCUGAUGUAUUUCUUUAAACAAAACCUGUGCCAAACUCCUCCACCCAGCAUGCCUAUGGCUCACCCCAGCCUAACCAGGCCAGGAGACGAAGCCAGGUAUUUGCUACCCUCUGCUGUUCUCUUCCUGCUAUAUCACCUCCCUCUAGCAGAAGCCAACGCUACUUUCUGCUCUCCUUUAAGACCCUGUGCUGUCUGGUAGAGAGAAACCAUUACCCUUCCCAUUAGGAGAUGCUGAGCCUUCAGCCCACCCCAUCUCUCUGCUCCUGCAUCCUCCCCAGCCCCUUCUCCCAAAUAUCAUCAGCUCCACACACCUGAGCUUCCCUCCAUCUCCCAGCCUGCUUUCCACCCUGUCCUUUCUGCUUUUCCCCCUGCCGUUAUGCUUGGGCCAUUCCUCCCUGUGCAUUGCUCACACAUUAGGAAGAGCUCAGAGGAGAGCUGGGCUCUGGGCCUGCCAAGUACUAAAAUCCUUCUAUGAGUCUCAGAGAACAGCCUGGCACCAUUGGGGUUAAUUCAGAGGUAGCAUCAGAGCAGCUCCUGCCUUUAUUAUCAACCCUUGACCCUUCACAGAAGAAAACAAGCCAACAGAUAAAUGCCAGCUGUGUUGCUUUGGUGCCCACAUUGAAUAUUUAUCACCAUAAACACUAUUAAUCACAGAGAGAGGUGGGGGCAUAAUACCUUCCUAAUGAGCUGUGUUCAGCUGACUCCAGGUAGGUUUUAAAGUGCAGAGCUCCUUUCUCUCAUUACAGCUGCAGAGCUCUCCUCUGGGGAGAUGUGUAUUGCUGCAUUUCAGAAGCUUCAAAGGGAGGUAGAUAUGACCCUGCAUUGCUAACGCAACUAAUGGGCUACAAUAAUCAGUGUUACCGCCUUUAGAAGACAGCAUUCUUGGAGCAGAAGACUCACCAAAGUAUGGGUGAAUCCCAUCAAAAUGGUGGUGAUG
This is a non-coding RNA of Coturnix japonica (Japanese quail), 3412 nucleotides long. NCBI's taxonomy places the organism in Eukaryota, Metazoa, Chordata, Aves, Galliformes, Phasianidae. The record is from RefSeq and is a predicted model, not a curated record.